Sphaeramia orbicularis (orbiculate cardinalfish) is the source of this 872-nucleotide non-coding RNA. The record is from the annotation of a RefSeq genome assembly. NCBI's taxonomy places the organism in Eukaryota, Metazoa, Chordata, Actinopteri, Kurtiformes, Apogonidae.
AAAAAAAACACACAACCACAACUACAACACCAACAGUCUGAUCUGAAAAGAACACAAUGAUCAUAUUCUUCUGUUUAAUGUGGAAAGUGAUCCUGGUUUCAGGUUCUUCAGUCCACCAGAAUCCACCUCAUAUUUACAAGAAACAAGGAGAAAAAGCUGAAAUCACUUGUUCACAUCAAAUCGACAGCUACAAUGUAAUCCUCUGGUACAGACAAACAAAGAACAUUGAGAUGAAGCUCCUGGGAUAUAUGCAGUACAGUAAUUCAAACUAUGAACCUGGAGUGAAUGUGCAGAUGAGUGGAGGUGCAAAUAAAGAUCAUACCCUGCACCUGUACUAAACCAUUCAACCAACGCUGGUGUUCACCGUCACACAGAUCACACAUUAAAACUGGAUCUUUAACAAGGCCUAAUAUUUGCAUCACAUCUACAACUACACAUUUCAUUUCAUUUAUUGCUUUAUUUAUUCUGCUCAAUAAUCUGCAGAAACAUAAAAAUCUGUAACUCCAGAGUAAUAAAUAUCAGUAUAUAACACUGGAUUUUCAUAUAUAAAACCAGAUCAAAUUAGCCAUUCUGUGAUUAUUCCUUCAUUUCUUUAGCCUGACAAAAAUCUGCCAUUUUGUUGAACCAUCUACAUAAAUCACAGCAUCAUCAGCAUAAAGGUGGAUUUUUAUGUCAGAAUAAACAGACAGAACAUCUUUAACAUAUGAACUAAGAAGAAGUGGCUCCAGUAUAGAUCCCUGUGAAACACCAGUACAGUGGAUAUAUAAGUGUUUACUCAUACAAACUGUUUUCUCAUUUCAUGGGAAGGGGGACGUCCUAAGACACAAUCUGCUAAAUGAGUUGCUAAUGGGUGGGGUCACUCAUAGAGGAGG